GAGAGUAAAGAAAAAAAAAGAGUUGAUUAGAAACUUGGAAAAGUGAGUUUUUAUGAAAGGGUGAAAAUAUGAAAAGAAACAAGAAAAAGAAAUCACCCUUGAAACCAUAGAGCAAAGAAAAAAAAGAAAAAAAAAAAAAAGAAAAAAAAUCAAAGAAAAUGCUCAUGGUUGUGUGGAUGUAAAAAGAAAAAAAAAUAGGGAUCAAAGAAAGGGGAAUUGUGUAGAGUUGAAUGUUGGGGAAUGCUCCCUUAGGAUAGACAACUUUGUUGAAUUCUCUUAAUCAUAUCCUUUCUUGUAGCCUAAGCCACAUUACAACCUUUGAAAGACCUCUUGAUUCUCAUUUUUCACAUGAUUUGGUAUUUGUUGUGAUAACCGCAUGAUUUGAAUUGUUGUUGAUUUAAUUGCUUGGAUGAGUGAAAGUAACCCUUCAUGUUAUUCAUCAUUAU
RNAcentral lists this long non-coding RNA (446 nucleotides) under Lathyrus oleraceus (garden pea). RNAcentral describes it as "Pisum sativum (pea) long non-coding RNA (PSAT_LNC007571)". The record is from RNAcentral. Lineage: Eukaryota; Viridiplantae; Streptophyta; Magnoliopsida; Fabales; Fabaceae.